CUCGGACUGCUGAAUAACACGUGGAUAACCUACCCUUGGGACUGGAAUAACCCCGGGAAACUGGGGAUAAUACCGGAUAGAUCAGGGAUGCUGGAAUGCACCUUGAUCCAAAGCUCCGGCGCCCAAGGAUGGGUCUGCGGCCUAUCAGGUAGUAGUGGGUGUAACGUACCUACUAGCCAACGACGGGUACGGGUUGUGAGAGCAAGAGCCCGGAGAUGGAUUCUGAGACACGAAUCCAGGCCCUACGGGGUGCAGUAGGCGCGAAACCUUUACAAUGUGCGAAAGCAUGAUAAGGGAACUCCGAGUGCCAGUAUCUAAUACUGGCUGUCCUUGUGCCUAAAACGCACAAGAUAGCAAGGGCCGGGUAAGACCGGUGCCAGCCGCCGCGGUAACACCGGCGGCCCGAGUGGUAGCCGCUAUUAUUGGGUCUAAAGGGUCCGUAGCCGGUUCGAUAAGUCCUCUGGGAAAUCUGGUUGCUUAACAAUCAGACUGCCAAGGGAUACUGUCGAACUUGAGACCGGGAGAGGUAAGAGGUACUUCAGGGGUAGGAGUGAAAUCUUGUAAUCCCUGGGGGACCAUCUGUGGCGAAGGCGUCUUACCAGAACGGGUCUGACGGUGAGGGACGAAAGCUGGGGGCGCAAACCGGAUUAGAUACCCGGGUAGUCCCAGCCGUAAACGAUGCUCGCUAUGUGUCAGGUACGGUGUGACCGUAUCUGGUGCCGUAGGGAAGCCGUGAAGCGAGCCACCUGGGAAGUACGGCCGCAAGGCUGAAACUUAAAGGAAUUGGCGGGGGAGCACUACAACGGGUGGAGCCUGCGGUUUAAUUGGAUUCAACGCCGGAAAUCUUACCGGGGGAGACAGCAGCAUGAAGGUCAGGCUGAAGACCUUACCAGAUCCGCUGAGAGGAAGUGCAUGGCCGUCGUCAGUUCGUACUGUGAAGCAUCCUGUUAAGUCAGGCAACGAGCGAGACCCGUGCCCACAGUUGCCAGCAUACCCUUCGGGGUGAUGGGUACUUUGUGGGGACCGCCGCUGCUAAAGCGGAGGAAGGAGCGGGUUACGGUAGGUCAGUAUGCUCCGAAACUCCCGGGCUACACGCGGGCUACAAUGGUUGGGACAAUGGGAAUCACACCGAA
This 1133-nucleotide ribosomal RNA is filed under the name uncultured archaeon. RNAcentral's name for it is "bacterial SSU rRNA". It matches the Rfam family "Archaeal small subunit ribosomal RNA", at positions 80 to 1215 of the family's 1478-position model. The record is from RNAcentral.